Molecule: ribosomal RNA, 396 nt
Filed under: Geastrum granulosum
Lineage: Eukaryota; Fungi; Basidiomycota; Agaricomycetes; Geastrales; Geastraceae
Description: partial large subunit ribosomal RNA
Rfam family: Eukaryotic large subunit ribosomal RNA
Source: RNAcentral
CAGGAUUCCCCUAGUAACGGCGAGUGAAGAGGGAAAAGCUCAAAUUUGAAAUCUGGCGGUCUUAAGGCUGUCCGAGUUGUAAUCUAGAGAAGUGUUUUCCGUGCUGGACCGUGUACAAGUCCUUUGGAAUAAGGCGUCAUAGAGGGUGAGAAUCCCGUCUACGACACGGACUGCCAGUGCUCUGUGAUACACUCUCAACGAGUCGAGUUGUUUGGGAAUGCAGCUCAAAAUGGGUGGUAAAUUCCAUCUAAAGCUAAAUACAGGCGAAAGACCGAUAGCGAACAAGUACCGUGAGGGAAAGAUGAAAAGCACUUUGGAAAGAGAGUUAAACAGUACGUGAAAUUGUUGAAAGGGAAACGCUUGAAGUCAGUCGCGUCUUCAGAAAUUCAGCCUGGC